This 242-nucleotide long non-coding RNA is filed under the name Citrus maxima (pomelo). RNAcentral's name for it is "long non-coding RNA (CMAX_LNC003820)". The record is from RNAcentral. Lineage: Eukaryota; Viridiplantae; Streptophyta; Magnoliopsida; Sapindales; Rutaceae.
UAAAAUCACUGUUAAGAGCAUUGAAGUUAAUACCUCUGGAAGCCAUUGGAAGGUGGUCACAGGAUAGUUAUAAGCUUGCACUGUCGAGACAUAGACUUGAUAAUGAUUAAUAACAGAAGUUAGAAUUGAUAACACUGGAUAAAUUGCCAUUAAAAUAUCAAGCAUUCAGGCAUAUAUCCUGAGUCUGUGUUUAUAUAUAAAAUAAAUUCAACAAAGGAAUAUUUACUUUUGUACCUUAUUAU